RNAcentral lists this long non-coding RNA (1429 nucleotides) under Anas platyrhynchos platyrhynchos (common mallard). RNAcentral describes it as "lncRNA (ENSAPLG00000021090.1)". The record is from RNAcentral. Lineage: Eukaryota; Metazoa; Chordata; Aves; Anseriformes; Anatidae.
UCACUGCUCGGUGGGUGAGGUUUGCAGCGUGUGAUAAAUUGCUGCCUCACAUCUGAAAGCCUCAUGGGUUUGCUUUGGGUCUUUAUUUUUUUUUCAAGUGAGUUUGGAGUGAUGUUUACAUGCAAACCGUGAUUGCAGACAUUAAAUCACUUUCCAGCUCGGGCUGUUGAGCGGAUGGUUGGGGGGGGGGGGGGGGGGGGGGAGAAAAAAACAUAGCAGGGACGUGGGUUUUUCUUCACACAGAGGAUGCUCUUUUCACAUGGGCAGCAAAAGGCAGAGAUGCACGCAAGUGGAAAUAAAUAAGGAUAUGAUUACUAAAGUGCUUUGUUUGCCACUCUGCCACAUAAAUAAUAAUAAUAUACAACAAUAAUAGCACAAUAGUGCCAGAUACCAGGGGGAUUAAACAUCAAAUUAAUAUUUAGCGUGGUUUGGAUUAAGCAGAAAUAACAGCUUUAUGAUUAGAGUCUGAAAUUGCUGCUAAUAAUGACUGAUUAUGCUGCUGCAGAGGAAGAAUUAUAAGCACUCGGGGACACGUAACCUUCCCAAAGUCAUUAGCAGAAAAGUGCUGAGAGGACCGAUGAACUGCCUGCUCCCAUGGGGCUGCCUGUGCAAUGGGCAGAGGAGCGAGGUUCCUGUGCAGCCCCUGCUAGAAACAAUGCACGUCCGGGUGCUGCCAGAGCACGGGGAGGGAAAUGUUCAUCGUGACGGUGCUCUGGAGGACCCAGGUGGGGAAGAGGAGAAAGGAGAAAGUGCCACAAAGUCCCCCUCUGCUCACAGCUGUGGGUUUAUCUGCGGGCUUAGCACAUCACACAGCUUAAAGCAAUGGAGCACAUCGCUGAUUCCACUGGCAGAAAACACUCUGCUUCCAGUAAACCUUUGUAAGCACUCAGCUGAUAACAAAAAUUAAAAACAAGCAUCCCUCUGGAAACGUGGCAAGUAGCUUCAUAAGCUGAUGUGUGUCUGUUACUGCAGCAAUUAACGUUCUCCUUUUUAUUAUCUACUGUAAGCUAGCCAGUCAAUAAUGUCAGCAAUGACAGGUUGUUAUAACUGCAAUGCAUUUUUUCCCGGUAUAUGUGCUGAUAUUUUAUUUAAACAGAUCUGCUUUUGUGCCAUUCUGACUCAAGGAAGGUCAAAGAUAUGGAGAUUUAUGAGUGCCAAUUAUGUGUAUUAAUACUUAAUCAGACUCUGAGAGAAAUCAUUACUAUCUGCUUACUGCUUCCAUAUGAAGUGUAGCCGCGAGACCCAGCCAGCAGGAUAGGAAGUCAGGAAUUUUGGGAGGCAGGAACCAAGGCAGUGCCAGGCUCAUGCUGUAAGUGCUGCAUGGGCAAACCUACCUGCAGAAAACAGAGCGUAGCACUGCGUCUGCAAAUGCAAUCAGCAGGUGCUCAGAUUGCUCACGUACAAGGAAAUAAACGUGGGGUCUGAACCA